This 750-nucleotide ribosomal RNA is filed under the name uncultured Actinomyces sp. RNAcentral describes it as "bacterial SSU rRNA". It matches the Rfam family "Bacterial small subunit ribosomal RNA", at positions 28 to 776 of the family's 1533-position model. Lineage: Bacteria; Bacillati; Actinomycetota; Actinomycetes; Actinomycetales; Actinomycetaceae. The record is from RNAcentral.
GACGAACGCUGGCGGCGUGCUUAACACAUGCAAGUCGAGCGCUGAAGCCCAGCUUGCUGGGUGGAUGAGUGGCGAACGGGUGAGUAACACGUGAGUAACCUGCCCCCUUCUUUGGGAUAACGCCCGGAAACGGGUGCUAAUACUGGAUAUUCACUGGCCUUCGCAUGGGGGUUGGUGGAAAGGUUUUUCUGGUGGGGGAUGGGCUCGCGGCCUAUCAGCUUGUUGGUGGGGUGAUGGCCUACCAAGGCUUUGACGGGUAGCCGGCCUGAGAGGGUGACCGGUCACAUUGGGACUGAGAUACGGCCCAGACUCCUACGGGAGGCAGCAGUGGGGAAUAUUGCACAAUGGGCGAAAGCCUGAUGCAGCGACGCCGCGUGAGGGAUGACGGCCUUCGGGUUGUAAACCUCUUUCGCUCAUGGUCAAGCCGCAGCUUUGGGUUGUGGUGAGGGUAGUGGGUAAAGAAGCGCCGGCUAACUACGUGCCAGCAGCCGCGGUAAUACGUAGGGCGCGAGCGUUGUCCGGAAUUAUUGGGCGUAAAGGGCUUGUAGGCGGUUGGUCGCGUCUGCCGUGAAAUCCUCUGGCUUAACUGGGGGCGUGCGGUGGGUACGGGCUGACUUGAGUGCGGUAGGGGAGACUGGAACCCCUGGUGUAGCGGUGGAAUGCGCAGAUAUCAGGAAGAACACCGGUGGCGAAGGCGGGUCUCUGGGCCGUUACUGACGCUGAGGAGCGAAAGCGUGGGGAGCGAACAGG